GUGUUGCAACUCAAAUGAAGCAACGGGCUGUCACUGAAUGCCCUGGGAAAUAAGUGAAUAUGUAGUUAGGCAUGAAUUGAGGUUUUAACCAAGCCGGUUAAGCAGCUGUUUUUUUAAGCAUGUUGUUUUCUUUUGUUUGUUUAUGAUGUCAAUAAGGUUCAACAUGUUUGCUUCCUCUGGUGGUUUCAUAAUGACAUUUGUUUGCUUGUUUUAUUAAAUGCCAUUCAGCAUUAUCCUUUAUUUCUGACUGGAUAUAUUAUUUAUCCUUUGUAUCAUCUACUCCUAGUGUUUUCCAUUUUGCAUGUGCUGCAAUUAUAAGUUAUUUACAUGCACAUUUCUUGGCAGAGAACUUGUUGGUUACA
This 362-nucleotide unclassified non-coding RNA is filed under the name Hevea brasiliensis (rubber tree). Lineage: Eukaryota; Viridiplantae; Streptophyta; Magnoliopsida; Malpighiales; Euphorbiaceae. The record is from RNAcentral.